Molecule: long non-coding RNA, 677 nt
Filed under: Schistocerca americana (American grasshopper)
Lineage: Eukaryota; Metazoa; Arthropoda; Insecta; Orthoptera; Acrididae
Description: uncharacterized LOC124596638, transcript variant X2
Source: RNAcentral
CAGCGAGAAGCUGCGCAGUCGUUUGCAGUUCCAUCGCUGCCGUGGCUGGUUAACAAUUGACCGCGAAACCGUCGAAGAUGGCUCAGCGGCGAAUCCAAGUGCGGAUGAGAGAAGAAAUCGGCCACAUCCUCACGAAGAAUAAUCGCGACGUCUGCUUGAGGUUCGCGCCAGUAGCAGUGCAGCGCUCGCGAGGUGGGAAGGCUACCCGUGCAGCGCAGUCUCGACAGCGAGCAGCGUUGUGCAGCCUCUACAGCGGUCGGCGGCGGCCAGAUGAGGUGGAGGUGAGGCAAGGACUGGUUUGUCCAGUGGCGCUGGACCCGCGUCACCGUGUUUACGACGCUACUCUCCUGGAGGAGGGGAGAGUGGGGACAGAAAACACUCCUUGCAGCGCCACAUCGAAAACAAGGUGCCGUGUUUGCUUACGUUCACGUAACCACUGCAGAAUUUCCGCUGACAACUGUGGGUGUGGUUGCCCUGCCGUUGGCAACAAUACCAAUGAGGCUUUCUGCUACGUCACCUGGACGAAGGCGUGCAGUAAAUUCACACAAUCACACUACACUGCACAGAGGCUGUCCCAAACUUUAGGGUCAAAAUUGUAUAUAUAGUAGUGAAUUUUUAACUGAAUACGUUUAGAGAUUGAUUUAAUAGCUGAAAAUAAAUAUUUUGUUUAUUACUGA